This 517-nucleotide long non-coding RNA is filed under the name Homo sapiens (human). Its description in RNAcentral is "non-protein coding lnc-SNX3-1:1". The record is from RNAcentral. Lineage: Eukaryota; Metazoa; Chordata; Mammalia; Primates; Hominidae.
ACAAUGAUAUCAGUGGAGAUCACAUGGGAGUCAGAACCCUCUUUCCAGCAGUAACAGGUGAGAAAAGACAUGAAGCAGUUGAGGGACCAAGAAAUGCAUCCUCUAGAAACGCAUUCUGUUGCAUGGCUUUUUAAAAUGUUUCAUCCAAAAAAUUCCAGAAGAUAACAUCAAAAAAACCCUUCUAGACAUUGGCUUAGACAAAGACUUCAUGACCAAGAAACCAAAAGCAUAUGCAAUAAAACCAAAGAUAAAUAGGUGGGACUUAACUACACUAAAGAGCUUCUGCCCAGCAAAAGGAACAGUCAGCAGAGUAAACAGACAACGCACAGAGUGGGAGAAAAUCUUCACAAUUUAUACAACUGACAAAGGACUGAUAUCCAGAAUCUACAAGGAACUCAAACAAGUUGGCAAGAAAAAAAUAAAUAAUCCCAUCAAAAAGUGGGCUAAGGACAUGAAUAGACAAUUCUCAAAAGAAGGUACAUAAAUGGCCAACAAACAUGAAAAAAUGCUCAACAUC